GGGGUGUGACUGCGUACCUUUUGUAUAAUGGGUCAGCGACUUAUAUUCUGUAGCAAGGUUAACCGAAUAGGGGAGCCGGAGGGAAACCGAGUCUUAACCGGGCGUUAAGUUGCAGGGUAUAGACCCGAAACCCGGUGAUCUAGCCAUGGGCAGGUUGAAGGUUGGGUAACACUAACUGGAGGACCGAACCGACUAAUGUUGAAAAAUUAGCGGAUGACCUGUGGCUGGGGGUGAAAGGCCAAUCAAACCGGGAGAUAGCUGGUUCUCCCCGAAAGCUAUUUAGGUAGCGCCUCGUGAAUUCAUCUCCGGGGGUAGAGCACUGUUUCGGCUAGGGGGCCAUCCCGGCUUACCAACCCGAUGCAAACUGCGAAUACCGGAGAAUGUUAUCACGGGAGACACACGGCGGGUGCUAACGUCCGUCGUGAAGAGGGAAACAACCCAGACCGCCAGCUAAGGUCCCAAAGUCAUGGUUAAGUGGGAAACGAUGUGGGAAGGCCCAGACAGCCAGGAUGUUGGCUUAGAAGCAGCCAUCAUUUAAAGAAAGCGUAAUAGCUCACUGGUCGAGUCGGCCUGCGCGGAAGAUGUAACGGGGCUAAACCAUGCACCGAAGCUGCGGCAGCGACACU
Molecule: ribosomal RNA, 626 nt
Filed under: Salmonella enterica subsp. enterica serovar Muenchen
Lineage: Bacteria; Pseudomonadati; Pseudomonadota; Gammaproteobacteria; Enterobacterales; Enterobacteriaceae
Description: bacterial LSU rRNA
Rfam family: Bacterial large subunit ribosomal RNA
Source: RNAcentral